This 286-nucleotide ribosomal RNA is filed under the name uncultured prokaryote. Its description in RNAcentral is "partial 16S ribosomal RNA". It matches the Rfam family "Bacterial small subunit ribosomal RNA", at positions 355 to 635 of the family's 1533-position model. The record is from RNAcentral.
UGAGGAAUUUUGCGCAAUGGGGGAAACCCUGACGCAGCAACGCCGCGUGGGCGAUGAAGGCCUUCGGGUCGUAAAGCCCUGUCGGGCGGGAAGAACGCUCUUGGUCGAAGGACUGGGGGGUGACGGUACCGCCAGAGGAAGCACCGGCUAACUCCGUGCCAGCAGCCGCGGUACUACGGAGGGUGAAAGCGUUAUUCGGAAUUACUGGGCGUAAAGGGCGUGCCGGCGGGAGGGCAAGUCUGAGGUGAAAGCCCGGGGCUUAACCCCGGAAGGGCAUUGGAAACUG